AAAUUAGUCAGAAUGUUCAUCUUGAUGAUAUCUAGGUCAGGUUCGAAAGUGGGUCACGUGCCAUCAAAAACUAGGUCAGUAGGUCAAAUGAUAGAAAAACCUUGUGACCUCUCUAGAGGCCAUAUUUUUCAUGGGAUCAGUAUGAAUAUUGGUCUGAAUGUUCAUCUUAAUGAUAUCUAGGUCAAGUUUGAAACAGGGUCAUGUGCGGUCAAAAACUAGGUCAGUAGGUCUAAAAAUAGAAAAACCUUGUGACCUCUCUAGAGGCCAUACUUGUGAAUGGAUCUCCAUAAAAAUUGGUCAGAAUGUUCAUCUUGAUGAUAUCUAGGUCAAGUUUGAAAGUAGGUCAUGUGCCAUCAAAAAGUGGGUCAGUAGGUCAAAUAAUGAAAAAACGUUGUGACCUCUCUAGAGGCCAUAUUUUUCAUGGGAUCUGUAUGAAAGUCGGUCUGAAUGUUGAUCUUGAUGAUACAUAGGUCAGGUUUGAAACUGGGUCAACUGCGAUCAAAAACUAGGUCAGUAGGUCUUGAAAUAGAAAAACUUUGCGACUUCUGUAGAGGCCAUACCCUUGAAUUGAUCUUCAUGAAAAUUGGUCAGAAUGUUCACCUUGAUGAUAUCUAGGUCAAGUUUGAAAUGGGUCACGUGCCUUAAAAAACUAGGUCAGUAGGUCAAAUAAUAAAAAAAACCUUGUGACCUAUCUAGAGGCCAUACUUUUCAUGGGAUCUGUAUGAAAGUUGGUCUGAAUGUUCAUCUUGAUGAUAUCUAGGUCAAGUUUGAAAUUGGGUCCACUGCGAUCAAAAACUAGGUCAGCAGGUCUAAAAUUAGAAAAAUCUUUUGACCUCUCUAGAGGCCAUAUUUUUCAUGAGAUCUUCCUGAAAAUUCAUGAGAUCUUCAUGAAAAUUCAUGAGAAUGUUCACCUUGAUGAUAUCUAGGUAAAGUUCAAAACAGGGUCACGUACCUUCGAAAACUAGGUCAAUAGGUCAAAUAAUAGAAAAACCUUGUGACCUCUCUAGAGACCAUAUUUUUCAAUGGAUCUUCAUGAAAAUUGGUCAGCAUUUUUAUCUUGAUAAUAUCUAGGUCAACGACGUCAUACUCAAAACUGGGUCAUGUGGGAAGAGGUGAGCGAUUCAGGACCAUCAUGGUCCUCUUGUUUUAACUUGCACACAACUUGUAUCACUAUAAGAUCUUGGUUCCUUUCUUGAACUGGCCAGAUCCCAUUAUGCAAGUAGUCCUACUUUUUCCUACUUUUCCUACUUUUUAGGUCUGUUCCUACUUUUUUCCUACUUUUUUUGAAAAAACUCCUACUAUUCCUACUUUUUUAUCUAAAGAAGAAAAAAUAUGUUAACAAAUGUUGUAAGUCUAUUUGUAUAAUGAAUUUUGUUACAUAAUGUAAGGACUGAUGGUGUACUGGGGAGACUCUAGAGAUAUUUUUAAUAUGCUGCUGAUGACCUCUUCAUUAUAUGAGUUGAAUAUUGACCUUGACAUUGGAGCGUAAGAGGUUGCAGGUAGCUAUGUACAGUGGGGACCUCAAAGCAUCAAGAAAAUAGAAAGACCUGAUAUAUUGUGCUGCUGUGUAAUUGUGAGUAAAUGUACAAGAUUCAGACCCAGAUCCAGAGCUGGAAAGAGGGUGCCCAUGCCCCCACCUCCCCAGUUUGCUGAGAAGUGACCUAUAGUCAUCAAAGUUGCACCCAACUAUUUUGGCUAAGGAUUAAUAUUUUCUCAAAAUUUAGACCCAAAAGUGCACCAGAGGCCUCCAUUUCAUACCUAUAUUUCAAAAUUUUCCAGAGGGAGAACACACUGUCCCUCUGAAAAUCAGGAAAAUACCCCACCCAGUACCUCAAAAUUAAGACCAAAAAUGCACCAGAACCCACCAUUUCAUACUUGUAUUUCAAAAUUUUCCAGGGAUAGAGCACCCUGACCCCCUUAAAAUGACUGGCAUACCUCCUUCCAUACCUCAAAAUUUAGACCAAAAGAAUGCACCAGAGCCCACCAUUUUGUGCCUGUAUUUCAAAAUUUUCAGGGGGGAGCCCUCAGACCCCCCUAAAAUGUCUGGGAGACCUCUUCCCAUACCUAGAAAUUAAGACCUAAAGAUGCACCAGAGCCCACCAUUUCAUACCUGUAUUUCAAAAUUUUCCAGGGGGAGAGCCACCUGACCCCCUGAAAUGACUGGGAUACCUCUUCCCUUACCUCAAAUUUCAGACCAAAAAAUGCUCCAGAGGCCUCCAUUUCAUACCUAUAUUUCACUAUUUUCCAGGGGGAGAACACACUGGCCCCCGAAAAAUAGAAAAGUACCCUUCCCAGUUCCUCAAAAUUAAGACCAAAAAUUGCACCAGAACCCACCAUUUCAUACUUGUAUUUCAAAAAUUUCCAGGGGAAGCGCACCCUGAACCCCCUUAAAAUGACUGGCAUACCUCCUUCCAUACCUCAAAAUUUAGACCAAAAGAAUGCACCAGAGCCCACCAUUUUGUACCUGUAUUUCAAAAUUUUCAGAGUGGGUGGGGAGCCCUCUGACUCUCCUAAAAUGACUGGGAUACCUCCUCCCAUACCUCAAAUUUAGAAGCCCGCCCGCUUAGCUCAGUAGGUAAGAGCGUUGGUCUACGGAUCGCGGGGUCGCGAGUUCGAUCCUCGGGCGGGGCGUAUGUUCUCCGUGACUAUUUGAUAAACGACAUUGUGUCUGAAAUCAUUAGUCCUCCACCUCUGAUAAUUCAUGUGGGGAAGUUGGCAGUUACUUGCAGAGAACAGGUUUGUACUGGUACAGAACCCAGGAACACUGGUUAGGUUAACUGCCCGCCGUUACAUGACUGAAAUACUGUUGAAAAACGGCGUUAAACCCAAAACAAACAAACAAACAAAUCAAAUUUAGACCCAAAAAUGCACCCAGAGCCCACCAUUUCAUACCUGUGUUGCAAAAUUUUCCAGGGUGACAGCCCCCUGACGGUGACCCCCCUAAUAUGACUUGGAUACCUCUUCCCAUACCUAAAAUUUAGACCAAAAAAUGCACCAGAGCCCACCAUUGCAUACCUGUAUUUCAAAAUUUUCCAAAUUUGUUCAAAUCAUGACCCUCCGGGGUCAAAUUGACCCCGCCCCAUGGGGUUACUUGAUUGUACAUAGAAAUAUCUUCAAAAUUUUCUAAAAAUAAAUCAGAAGGCCUAGAGCUUAAAUAUUUGACAUGUAGUAUUGCCUAAUGGACCUCUACAAAAUUUGUUCAAAUCAUAACCCCCUGGGUCAAAAUUGACUCCGACCAAGGGGUCACUUGAUUUUACAUAGGAAAAUCUUCAUAAAUUUUCUAAAAAUAAAUCAGAAGGCCUAGAGCUUAGAUAUUUCACAUGUAGGAUUGCCUAGUGGACCUCUACAAAAUUUGUUCAAAUCAUGACCACCGGGGUCAAAAUUGACCUCGCCCCAGGGGUCACUUAAUUUUACAUAGGAAAAUCUUCAAAAAUUUUCUAAAAAUAAACCAGAAGGCCUAGAUCUUAGAUAUUUGACAUGUAGCAUUGCCUAGAAGACUUCUACAAAAAAAUUUCAAAUUAUGACUCUAAGGGUUAAAUGGACCCUGCCCCAUGGGGUUACUUGACUGUACAUAGAAAAAUCUUCAAAAAUUUCUUAAAAUAAACCAGAAGGCCUAGAUCUUAGAUAUUUGAUAUGUAACAUUGCCUAGUAGACUUCUACACACUUUGUUCAAAUCAUGACCCCGGGGUAAAAUUGGCCCCACCCCAGGGGUUACUUGAUUGUACAUCGGAAAAUCUUCCAAAAAAUUUCUAAUAAUCAUCAGUUUGACAUUUGAAACAUGUAGCUCAUAUUACUCAGGUGAGUCAUCCAGGGUCAUCAUGACCCUCUUGUUAUAAAUUUAUUCAUAGUUUAAUUCAAAGAAGAAAGGACAGACCGCUUCGUUUAUUGAUUUAUCAAAGAUGAUUAAGAACUGGAAGCGAAAAAUUAUAUGGCCGUGUUGACAUUUCGAUAAAGGAUAACCUCCAGCAGUAGGAGAUCUAAAGGUUCACUGCAGUUUUGACUAUGUCCAACAAGUAUUGUGCCCAUACUAUUCUCAGCAAGUAGGGUCCUUGUAUUUUAAGCCAACACAUAAAUGCAGAUUCUUUGGAGUUGCUGCGAAUCCUCAUGCAGGGGCCAUAACUCUGAAAAUAGAGGGCGGAGCCAGACGAAAAAUUGAAGUGAUGUGCAGAUCUUCUAUGAUAGUUACUAUGGUUACCAAGUUCCCAUUUAAAGAUACUACCCUUCAGUCACUGAGCUUCCUGAAACCAGACCGAAGGGAUACUGUCUCACCUGAAGAAGUUGCCAUCUGUUUGUCUGGUUUGUUAGUGUUUCCCUGGUUGAUGAGUAUGAAGGUUAACUUAAUGAACUGACCAAAUCAGAUCAACUAGAGACAUACUGGGCAUCUAUCGGGGAAGUGAAGCUCCACACUGGAAAGGAGAGGUGUCUUGAACUGAGUAAGAUGGCUUUACUUCUCCUGUCACUACCGCACAGCAAUGCUGAUCCAGAGCCGUCCUUCAGCCUACUGAGGAAGAUACAGGCUGACAGCAGGAACAACCCAGCUCUGGAAACCAUUCAGAACUUGAUGUCUGUGAAAAUGAACUAUCACUCUAUAUGUUCAACAUUCUCUUCAUCUCAUGAACUUAUUAGAUAGGAAAAGUCAGCGUAUAAUGUAUACAUUCGUAAGUGAAGACAGCAUAAACAAUGUGUUACUUCUUGAAAUACUAAAUUGUGCUUUUAGUAUUUUAGUAUCUAUAGUUAAUUGGAGAGAACUCUUGUGAUUUGUAUUCAUUGUGAUAUCUGGAUAAGAUAGAACAAAAGAUAAUAUAAAAUUUUGAUUUUGUCUCUAAAAUUGUGUUUUUUGCUCGACAUUAUGAAGUAUAUGGAGAGCUAUCCUACUCACCCCAGCGUCAGCGUCCUGAUCAGGAGAUGACCCCUAUUGAUGUUGAGGUCAGCAGGUCUAAGGUCAAGGUCACAGUGACCUAGAACAGUUAAAUGGUUUCUGGAUGAUAAAUCAAGAAUGCUUAAGCCUAGGAUCAUGAAAAAUGACAGGAAGGUUGAUCAUGACCAGCAGUUGACCCUUAUUGAUUCUGAGUUCAGUAGGGCAAAGGUCAAUGUCACAUUUACCCAGAACAGUAGAACUUUUGUAUCCAAUGACCAAAUAAUUUCUGUUCCUUGUGCAAUUACUGAAUUCAUCAAGGGGACAUUUCGUAUUCUACGAGCUCUUGUUUACUUAGAAUUUCAGGUUAAAGUUUUGAUGCACUGUCACUCUAUCUCAGUUAUUCCUAAAUGGAUCAUAUAGUACAAGGCCCAUAACUCUGGUACCAA
Molecule: long non-coding RNA, 5304 nt
Organism: Mercenaria mercenaria
Lineage: Eukaryota; Metazoa; Mollusca; Bivalvia; Venerida; Veneridae
Exons: 5
Source: RefSeq, a predicted model, not a curated record